AUACAGGGGGUGCGAGCGUUAAUCGGGAUUACUGGGCGUAAAGAGUACGUAGGCGGUUGCUUAAGUCAGAUGUGAAAGCCCCGGGCUCAACCUGGGAACUGCAUUUGAAACUGAGUGACUAGAGUUUAAGAGAGGGGAGUAGAAUUCCGGGUGUAGCGGUGAAAUGCGUAGAGAUCCGGAGGAAUACCAGUGGCGAAGGCGGCUCCCUGGCUUAAAACUGACGCUGAGGUACGAAAGCGUGGGUAGCAAACAGGAUUAGAAACCCGAGUAGUCC
Molecule: ribosomal RNA, 274 nt
Filed under: uncultured bacterium
Lineage: Bacteria
Description: partial 16S ribosomal RNA
Rfam family: Bacterial small subunit ribosomal RNA
Source: RNAcentral